GAUGAACGCUGGCGGCGUGCCUAAUACAUGCAAGUCGAGCGAAGCGGGGACGGGUGAGUAACACGUGGAUAACCUCCUAUAAGACUGGGAUAACUUCGGGAAACCGGAGCUAAACCGGAUACUUACAGAUGGAUCCGCGCUGCAUUAGCUAGUUGGUAAGGUAACGGCUUACCAAGGCAACGAUGCAUAGCCGACCUGAGAGGGUGAUCGGCCACAAUGGAACUGAGACACAGUCCAGACUCCUACGGGAGGCAGCAGUGGGGAAUCUUCCGCAAUGGGCGGAAGCCUGACGGAGCGACGCCGCGUGGGUGAAGAAGGUCUUCGGAUCGUAAAGCUCUGUUAGUAGGGAGGCGAUACCUAAUCAAGAGGCCACGGCUAACUACGUGCCAGCAGCCGCGGUAAUAC
This 405-nucleotide ribosomal RNA is filed under the name uncultured bacterium. RNAcentral's name for it is "partial 16S ribosomal RNA". It matches the Rfam family "Bacterial small subunit ribosomal RNA", at positions 28 to 526 of the family's 1533-position model. The record is from RNAcentral.